RNAcentral lists this non-coding RNA (26 nucleotides) under Mus musculus (house mouse). Lineage: Eukaryota; Metazoa; Chordata; Mammalia; Rodentia; Muridae. The record is from RNAcentral.
UUCUGAUAGAUUGCUCUGAAUUUCAU